RNAcentral lists this non-coding RNA (45 nucleotides) under Schistosoma mattheei. The record is from RNAcentral. Lineage: Eukaryota; Metazoa; Platyhelminthes; Trematoda; Strigeidida; Schistosomatidae.
AUCCAGCUGAUGAGUCUCAAAUAGGACGGAACGCGUGCCGUAGAU